This 476-nucleotide long non-coding RNA is filed under the name Ananas comosus (pineapple). RNAcentral describes it as "long non-coding RNA (ACOM_LNC005560)". Lineage: Eukaryota; Viridiplantae; Streptophyta; Magnoliopsida; Poales; Bromeliaceae. The record is from RNAcentral.
AAGGGCUAGCCGGGGUGGCAUUGCUGGAGGCACGGGAGGCCGACGACGUAAUUCUAGGGCAGUGCUGUCGAGUGUGAAGGAGAAUCGAGUGAAGAAAGAUUUGAGGGGGAGAGAGAGAUGUUUGUUGAUUAGGAAGGGCUUGUUUGGAGCUCCGACUGUUGGGGCUUGCUGUCGGAGGUCAGGGAUAAUGGCAGCACAGGUGGGGUGGUGUGCAACUGGCGGCUGGUGCAUUGAAAGGGAGAGAGAGGAGGGAUUAGGGUUAAUGAAACCCUAAGUUGCAUUAUAUUAAGGGUUUGCAAAUUUGUAGAGGAGUCCCUUUUAACUUGAUAUUUUCUUCCCAAACCCCCAUACUGUAUUCUCUCUCAUUUCCCCAACUUUGAAAUAUAUAUAAAUUCAACUUUCUUUUGAAUCUAAAAUUUUUAUUUUAUUUACUAAAUUCAAAUUUACAAUUUUCACGAAACACAUCGUCGAUAUAG